This 5621-nucleotide long non-coding RNA is filed under the name Malus domestica (apple). Its description in RNAcentral is "long non-coding RNA (MDOM_LNC017595)". The record is from RNAcentral. Lineage: Eukaryota; Viridiplantae; Streptophyta; Magnoliopsida; Rosales; Rosaceae.
AGCCCUCAAUCGGCGCCAACCUCCAGGGGAGCUGUGUGCUCGUCGGCCAGGAAACAUCCCCGACGGAAAUUCCUGCCACGAACAACCCUUAAAUUCUUAAAAACUUGUUAAAUUGCUUAAAAAUUAGAAGGGCAUAACUAAUGCUUCAGGAAAAAUAGUUGACAAGUCCUCUAUCUAUUAGAUAUUGGUACCCAAAAAUAAAAAUGCAACUUAAAACUUUACCAAAUGGUCAACAUUCGCCUCUUCCCAAAAAAAGGGGAGAUGGAGGACUGGGAUUAAUUUGUUUCGCAUUCGGUACGGUUCAUUUUUAGUGGCAGUUGUUGCCUUUUUUAAUGACAAUAGUGUUCGUUUUUACAGGACCCUCAAUUUAUUUGCAACCAAUUUUGUUGCUGUUUUUUUUUUCUUAAAACCAUCUCCAACCCUUGAGUUAAAACCUAAAAUUUUUAACUCACAAAAUUUAGGUUUUAGUCCAGAAAUAGUUUUUAUGCUCCAACUCUUUUGGUCUAAAUUUUUUAGCCCAAGAUUAUUAAAGAAUAAAUUUAGGCUAAUUUUUUCUUUUAAAGUAAUUACGUACACUAUCAUAAUUUAAUUUUAUGAACAUUUUAACCUAAAAAUAUUUAAAUUUUGAUAAAUAUUGAAAAAUCAUUAAAUUUGGGUGAAUUUUGAGUUAAAUAAAUUAUUUUAGCCGUUGGAUUUAAAUUUGAGCCGUGGUCCUGCUGUUGGUGCCCAUACCAUUUUUGGGGCUAAAUCCUAUGGGGAAUUUGGCUUUUAGCUUUUAGCCCACACAUUUAGCAUGGAUUGAAUUUAGUUUUUUUUUUUUGGAGGGAGGGGGGACCUUAAAAAUAGCAUUUAAAACGUCAGUUACUUAAUUACAUAAUUAUUUGGGGAUUACUUAAUUAUUUACUCAAACUAACUAAACAUAAAUUAUAAUUCCCUUGAUUUAUAUGCAGUGUGAGGAUCGGGAAUGAGUUUAGGGCUGGGCAUCCAAAAGCGGCUGCAUUAGCAGUUGUGAUGGUAACUUCAAGUUUAUCAUUCUCAACGGCAUUCAACCUGUUUUGUUAGGUAAGUGAAAUUUCACGUUAAAUGUAUGAGAAAUAAUUUUUGUAUAUUCGUUUUCUCCUUCUGCACUCCUCCUUUUAUUUAUACACUUUAUUUAUUAUUUAAGGUUUUUUACUGUUAAAGUCCAUAGAUUCUUUUGUAUUUAGGGAUAUAUCAAGAGUAAAUUUCGUUUUUUGGCUAGAUCAAUGGAUUAUUUUUAUUAAUUAGUGUAAGAUUAAUGGCAUGGAGCUCGUGUUUUAUGUGCUUCCUUAGUUUGUGCAUGAAGAGUACUAUUUAACCCAUAUUAAGAUAAAAAGAAUAUUGUGUACUCUCUCUUCUUCACUUGUCUGAUGCUUGCUCUUGAUACAACAACAACAACAACAAAUCAUUUUCCCACUAAGUGGGGUCGGCUAUAUGAAUCCUAGAACGCCAUUGCGCUCGGUUUUGUGUCAUGUCCUCCGUUAGAUCCAAGUACUCUAAGUCUUUUCUUAGGGUCUCUUCCAAAGUUUUCCUAGGUCUUCCUCUACCCCUUCGGCCCCGAACCUCUGUUCCGUAGUCACAUCUUCGAACCGGAGCGUCAGUAGGCCUUCUUUGCACAUGUCCAAACCACCGUAACCGAUUUUCUCUCAUCUUUCCUUCAACUUCGGCUACUCCUACUUUACCUCGGAUAUCCUCAUUCACAAUCUUAUCCUUUCUCGUGUGUCCACACAUCCCACGAAGCAUCCUUAUCUCCGCUACACCCAUUUUGUGUACAUGUUGAUGCUUCACCGCCCAACAUUCUGUGCCAUACAACAUCGCUGGCCUUAUUGCCGUCCUAUAAAAUUUUCCCUUGAGCUUCAGUGACCUACGACGGUCACACAACACCCCGGAUGCACUCUUACACUUCAUCCAUCCAGCUUGUAUUCUAUGGUUGAGAUCUCCAUCUAAUUCUCCGUUCUCUUGCAUGAUAGAUUCUAGGUAGCGAAAACGGUCGCUUUUUGUGAUCUUCGCUAGAUUGCUCCGGUCAUUAGUGUGGAUAAGUAUAUAAAUGGAUAGAGAUAGGAAAGCAAACACCAGAUGUACGUGGUUCACCCAUAUUGGCUACGUCCACGAAAUAGAGGAGUUCUCAUUAAUUGUGAAGGGUUUACACAAGUACAUAGGUUCAAGCUCUCUUUUAGUGAGUACAAGUGAAUGAUUUAGUACAAAUGACAUUAGGAAAUAUUGUGGGAGAAUGAUCUCGUAAUCACGAAACUUCUAAGUUCCGGAGUGUGGUAUCGUCUUGACUUGCCUUAUCUGUCUCGUAGGUAGAUGUGGCAUCUUCUCUGGAAGUACUCUUCCUCCAUCCAGGGGUGGUAUCUUUAACUGGUGGAGAUGCACAAGGUAAUGUAUCAAUUUCACUUGAAGCUUACUUGUAGUUUCAGGCUUGGUCAAGCGCGAUACAAACCAUGUAGUAGGAGUCCUCCAAGUCGCCGAGCUAGGGGAUCUGCUGAAAGAGGUGACAGACAAGGUAAGCAAUCAGAGCUCCAAGCAAUCAGUCCCAGAUCAGAACUUUGAUUUCGAGUUCCGGCUGAUUGUUCACAUUCUCCCUAUCUUGCAGGCAGCAUGAAGGAUAAAGAGAAGAAAAAUGAGAAGAGAUGAUGUGGGAUACUUUUGCUUUUGAAGAAUUAACUUUCCACAGGCUUAUUCUUGAACUGGGCUGGAGGGUUUUCUGGUUUCCUCCAGAGUAUAAGGCCAACUGAAGAAUUUGAGGGUCAAAACAAGUCCAUCAAAUCUAUAGUACGUUCGACCCUGCUGAUAUGGGAUACUUUUGCUUUUGACAGAGUAGUGGAUGUAUCGGCACGUGUGCUGUUACGCUUGUCUCCACAUGCUUCCUUGUAUCCUUCUCACUUGCUCUAUAUGUUCCUCUGGCAGAUGCGGUAUCUUCCCUAGAAGCAUAAGAUGUUGAAGAUGAGUACUCGAGAGCAAUGCCAGGUAAGUAAUCAAGUAAGGGGUUCCAGGCAGUCAGUUCCUGACUGGAAGCUUGAUUCCAAGUGUUGACUGAUUGCUCUCUUUCUCCUUGUCUUGGAGGUAAGAACAAGGCCAAAGGAAAAGACAAGGAAAAAACAUGAUAUGGGAUACUCUUGCUUUUAACCCUGAUGAUAUGAGAUAUUCUUGCUCUAGUAUAGCUUGUUUGCAGAGGUAUUAUCGGGGGGAAAGAAAGCUGAAUAUUUCGAAAAGCUUCUUUGGGAGUGCCCUCUCAGAUAUGAGGAAGGGUUGAGCAUUUUUGCAGGUCUGCCUGUCUGUUGGGGAUGGAGGUCAACAUAUAUAGGAGUCUCCCUAACAACAAGUAGUAAUGCUAUUCAUUUACCCUGCUUGGUCAUAACACGGUAGUGGGAGCUGCCAGCUUCACAUGUUUUAACUCUGUCAGAGCACUUUGAAAAAAUGGUCUGUGGUAUCUGGAAAGCUGAUGUUGCGUGUAAAGAUUACAGACAAGCUUUAUCCAAGGAGAUCCGGCUCUUGAAGUUGGGAAAGUGGUGCCUCUUCGGUUUUCGAACAAGCAAUCAUGUCGGAGAUCUGGCUCUCGAGAUUCGGAGAACGAUGCCUUUUCGAUUUUUGAGAAAGCAAUCCUGCUCGGGGUCUGGCUCUCGAGAUUCGGAGAGCGGUGUCUCUUCGAUUUUUGAGAAAGUAAUCAUGUUGGGAAUCUGGCUCUCGAGAUUCGGAGGGCGAUGCCUCUUCGAUUUUGGAGCAAGCAAUCUUGUUGGGAGUGUUUUCUCGAAUGUGAGAAAAGGUUGGGCAUGUUUGCUAGUCUAUCUUGCCACGAAGCACAGAGGUUGACACAUAGGGACUUUCCAAUUAUCCAGCAGUGGUACUGUUCCUUUACCCUUGUGGGUAAUAAUAUGGUAGCUAGACCUUCAAAAUUUAUGUGUCUAAACUUUGUUAGUGCUGUUUCUUUGCUAUUCUUUUACCCUUCUUGGUCAGAGCAGUGUAGUGGGAGCUGCAAGCUUCACGUGUCUCAACUUUGUCAGAGAACUUUGGCAAAGUUAUCUGUGGUACCCAUGAGCUAAUGUUGCGUGUGGGAAGUGGGUGAUUGAACAGUAAGAUUCAUGUGCUUUCUACUUCACCAGAAAUCUUCGACAUAAUGCCCAUAAUUUUCGCAAAGCUGACAGGUGCUGACAAGGCUGGAAAAGUAGGUGCCUCUUCGAUUUCUGAGAUCGGCCCUCGUGGUCUCUGAGCAACCCAGCUUUUGAGAAAGCAAGCGCCUCUUCGAUUUCUGAUAUCGGCCUUCGUGGUCUUUGAGCAGCCCAACUUUUGAGAAAGCAAACGUCUCGUGGUCUCUGAGCAGCCCAGCUUUUGAGAAAGCAAACGCCUUUUCGAUUUCUGAAGCUCCGUCGAGUGCAGAUUUUAUAGAGGCUGGCAUUAAGUUCCAAAGCACACUUGAAUCUUCACCAGUAGAAGCUCCAUUCUUGCACUUCUAAGAUCUUGAUUUGUCCGACCUCUUCUCUCUUCAACACUUUUGAAAAUGUUUGGCCCCUCCGACCGUCGUUUUGACUUGAACCUUGUUGAAGAGGCAGCCACGCCUUCUCCAGACAACAUAUGGCGCCCAUCCUUCGUCUCCCCUACUGGUCCUCUUACCGUUGGGGAUUCCGUGAUGAAGAAUGAUAUGACCGCUGCGGUAGUGGCCAGGAACCUUCUCACUCCCAAAGAUAACAAACUACUUUCCAAACGGUCUGAUGAGUUGGCUGUUAAGGAUUCUCUGGCUCUCAGUGUUCAGUGUGCAGGUUCUGUGUCUAACAUGGCCCAACGCCUAUUUGCUCGAACCCGCCAAGUUGAAUCAUUGGCGGCUGAAGUGAUGAGUCUCAAACAGGAGAUUAGAGGGCUCAAGCAUGAGAAUAAACAGUUGCACCGGCUCGCACAUGACUAUGCUACAAACAUGAAGAGGAAGCUUGACCAAAUGAAGGAAUCUGAUGGUCAGGUUUUACUUGAUCAUCAGAGAUUUGUGGGUUUGUUCCAAAGGCAUUUAUUGCCUUCGUCUUCUGGGGCUGUACUGCGUAAUGAAGCUCCAAAUGAUCAACCUCUGCUGCCUCCUCCUUCUAGGGUUCUGUCCAGUACUGAGGCUCCAAAUGAUCCCCCUCCAGUGCCUGCUUUUUCUGGGGCUCUACCGACUGCUGAGACUUCUCCUAAGCAACCUUUGUGAAGGCUCCCUCUUGUUUGUUUAUUUUGACUCAUGUAUAUGUACAUAUUUGUGACUUAUCGGGGAUAUCAAUAAAUAGCUUUCCUUCAUUUCAACGUAUUGUGUUAAAUACACCAAAGCCUUCUUCGCUAAGUUCUCUGAAUUUUCUUUUGUUGAAGCUUGUAUGUUGAAGCUUUGUGAGUGGAGCAUGUAGGUUGAGGUAGUAUUCCCUUAAUUUCCCGAGUGAGGAAAACUUCUCGGUUGGAGACUUGGAAAAUCCAAGUCAUUGAGUGGGAUCGGCUAUAUGAAUCUUUGAACGCCAUUGUGCUCGGUCCUGUGUCAUGUCCUCCGUUAGAUCCAAGUACUCUAAGUCUUUUCUUAGAGUCUCUUCCAAAGUUUCCUAGGUCUUCCUCUACCCCUUCGGCCCUGAACCUCUGUCCCAUAGUCGCAUCUU